Molecule: antisense RNA, 194 nt
Filed under: Erwinia billingiae
Lineage: Bacteria; Pseudomonadati; Pseudomonadota; Gammaproteobacteria; Enterobacterales; Erwiniaceae
Description: Yersinia sRNA 251
Rfam family: Yersinia sRNA 251
About the family: Antisense to phoH gene. Trimmed on 5'end from the original size.
Source: Rfam by way of RNAcentral
CGUAAGCGAGAAGCGUACGCUGGCAGAGCUGUGAACGUACGCAAUCUUCUUUCUCGAAACGCACCACGCUGACCAUGUCGUCGUCCUCAAAGCGAGAUAGCGCAUCGCUGAGACCCGACUUCACAUGGGACGGCAAAUCACACUGUGUGAUAUCGCCGUUCACAAUCACGGUGACGUUUUCCCCAAGGCGUGUC